RNAcentral lists this ribosomal RNA (500 nucleotides) under uncultured bacterium. Its description in RNAcentral is "partial 16S ribosomal RNA". It matches the Rfam family "Bacterial small subunit ribosomal RNA", at positions 28 to 507 of the family's 1533-position model. The record is from RNAcentral.
GACGAACGCUGGCGGCGUGCCUAAUACAUGCAAGUCGAGCGGACUGAUUAAGAGCUUGCUCUUAUGACGUUAGCGGCGGACGGGUGAGUAACACGUGGGCAACCUGCCCUGUAGAUCGGGAUAACACCGAGAAAUCGGUGCUAAUACCGGGUAAUAUCUGAGAUCACAUGAUCUUAGGUUAAAAGAUGGCUCCGGCUAUCACUACAGGCUGGGCCCGCGGCGCAUUAGCUAGUUGGUAAGGUAAUGGCUUACCAAGGCGACGAUGCGUAGCCGACCUGAGAGGGUGAUCGGCCACACUGGGACUGAGACACGGCCCAGACUCCUACGGGAGGCAGCAGUAGGGAAUCUUCCGCAAUGGACGAAAGUCUGACGGAGCAACGCCGCGUGAGUGAUGAAGGGUUUCGGCUCGUAAAGCUCUGUUGUUAGGGAAGAAACAGUACCGAACGAACUAGGUCGGUACCUUGACGGUACCUAACCAGAAAGCCACGGCUAACUACGUG